AAGUCAGAGGGGAAGUUGGUCAAAGCGAGCAGGAACUGGGGGAUGGAGGUCGUCGGGUGGAGCGGAAAGUCACCUGCAAGAUAACC
This 86-nucleotide small nuclear RNA is filed under the name Oxyrrhis marina. RNAcentral's name for it is "partial Dictyostelium signal recognition particle". Lineage: Eukaryota; Dinophyceae; Oxyrrhinales; Oxyrrhinaceae. The record is from RNAcentral.